ACAAUGGUGAUUUAGUGGUAGAAUUCUCACCUUCCGUGCAGGAGACCAGGGUUUGAUUCCCAGCCAAUGCA
Molecule: transfer RNA, 71 nt
Filed under: Loxodonta africana (African savanna elephant)
Lineage: Eukaryota; Metazoa; Chordata; Mammalia; Proboscidea; Elephantidae
Rfam family: tRNA
About the family: Transfer RNA (tRNA) molecules are approximately 80 nucleotides in length. Their secondary structure includes four short double-helical elements and three loops (D, anti-codon, and T loops).
Source: Rfam by way of RNAcentral